AAACCAUGAUGAGGACAUUGGGGUAAGAGAUCAUUGAACCUUUCCAAAUACCUAUACAAGGAUUCUCCCUCCUGUUGAGAAAAUGUGCAGAUUUGCAUCCUAAUACA
This is a small nucleolar RNA of Papaver somniferum (opium poppy), 107 nucleotides long. Lineage: Eukaryota; Viridiplantae; Streptophyta; Magnoliopsida; Ranunculales; Papaveraceae. The record is from RefSeq and is a predicted model, not a curated record.